Molecule: ribosomal RNA, 1114 nt
Filed under: Listeria monocytogenes
Lineage: Bacteria; Bacillati; Bacillota; Bacilli; Caryophanales; Listeriaceae
Description: partial 23S ribosomal RNA
Rfam family: Bacterial large subunit ribosomal RNA
Source: RNAcentral
CUGUACGUAAGCGUUGAUCCAGAGAUUUCCGAAUGGGGGAACCCACUAUCUUUAGUCGGAUAGUAUCCUUACGUGAAUACAUAGCGUGAGGAAGGCAGACCCAGGGAACUGAAACAUCUAAGUACCUGGAGGAAGAGAAAGAAAAAUCGAUUUCCUGAGUAGCGGCGAGCGAAACGGAAAGAGCCCAAACCAAGAAGCUUGCUUCUUGGGGUUGUAGGACACUCUAUACGGAGUUACAAAAGAAAGUUAUAAAUGAAGCGGUCUGGAAAGGCCCGCCAAAGACGGUAACAGCCCGGUAGUUGAAAUGGCUUUCCCUCCAGAGUGGAUCCUGAGUACGGCGGAACACGUGAAAUUCCGUCGGAAUCCGGGAGGACCAUCUCCCAAGGCUAAAUACUCCCUAGUGACCGAUAGUGAACCAGUACCGUGAGGGAAAGGUGAAAAGCACCCCGGAAGGGGAGUGAAACAGUUCCUGAAACCGUGUGCCUACAAGUAGUUAGAGCCCGUUAAUGGGUGAUAGCGUGCCUUUUGUAGAAUGAACCGGCGAGUUACGAUUUGUUGCAAGGUUAAGCGGAAAAAGCGGAGCCGUAGCGAAAGCGAGUCUGAAUAGGGCGCAUAAGUAACAGGUCGUAGACCCGAAACCAGGUGAUCUACCCAUGUCCAGGAUGAAGGUAAGGUAAUACUUACUGGAGGUCCGAACCCACGCACGUUGAAAAGUGCGGGGAUGAGGUGUGGGUAGCGGAGAAAUUCCAAUCGAACUUGGAGAUAGCUGGUUCUCUCCGAAAUAGCUUUAGGGCUAGCCUCGAGGUAAAGAGUCAUGGAGGUAGAGCACUGUUUGGACUAGGGGCCCUUCUCGGGUUACCGAAUUCAGAUAAACUCCGAAUGCCAUGUACUUAUACUCGGGAGUCAGACUGCGAGUGAUAAGAUCCGUAGUCGAAAGGGAAACAGCCCAGACCACCAGUUAAGGUCCCCAAAUAUAUGUUAAGUGGAAAAGGAUGUGGGGUUGCUUAGACAACCAGGAUGUUGGCUUAGAAGCAGCCACCAUUGAAAGAGUGCGUAAUAGCUCACUGGUCGAGUGACCCCGCGCCGAAAAUGUACCGGGGCUAAACAUAUUACC